This 425-nucleotide ribosomal RNA is filed under the name uncultured bacterium. RNAcentral describes it as "partial 16S ribosomal RNA". It matches the Rfam family "Bacterial small subunit ribosomal RNA", at positions 354 to 796 of the family's 1533-position model. The record is from RNAcentral.
GUGGGGAAUCUUGCGCAAUUGGCGAAAGCCUGACGCAGCCAUGCCGCGUGAAUGAUGAAGGUCUUAGGAUUGUAAAAUUCUUUCACCGGGGACGAUAAUGACGGUACCCGGAGAAGAAGCCCCGGCUAACUUCGUGCCAGCAGCCGCGGUAAUACGAAGGGGGCUAGCGUUGCUCGGAAUUACUGGGCGUAAAGGGCGCGUAGGCGGACAGUUUAGUCAGAGGUGAAAGCACAGGGCUCAACCUUGGAAUUGCCUUUGAUACUGGCUGUCUUGAGUACGGGAGAGGUGAGUGGAACUCCGAGUGUAGAGGUGAAAUUCGUAGAUAUUCGGAAGAACACCAGUGGCGAAGGCGACUCACUGGCCCGUUACUGACGCUGAGGCGCGAAAGCGUGGGGAGCAAACAGGAUUAGAUACCCGUGUAGUCC